RNAcentral lists this ribosomal RNA (497 nucleotides) under uncultured bacterium. RNAcentral's name for it is "partial 16S ribosomal RNA". It matches the Rfam family "Bacterial small subunit ribosomal RNA", at positions 28 to 507 of the family's 1533-position model. The record is from RNAcentral.
GAUGAACGCUGGCGGCGUGCCUAAUACAUGCAAGUCGAGCGAACAGACGAGGAGCUUGCUCCUCUGACGUUAGCGGCGGACGGGUGAGUAACACGUGGAUAACCUACCUAUAAGACUGGGAUAACUUCGGGAAACCGGAGCUAAUACCGGAUAAUAUAUUGAACCGCAUGGUUCAAUAGUGAAAGACGGUUUUGCUGUCACUUAUAGAUGGAUCCGCGCCGCAUUAGCUAGUUGGUAAGGUAACGGCUUACCAAGGCAACGAUGCGUAGCCGACCUGAGAGGGUUAUCGGCCACACUGGAACGGAGACACGGUCCAGACUCCUACGGGAGGCAGCAGUAGGGAAUCUUCCGCAAUGGGCGAAAGCCUGACGGAGCAACGCCGCGUGAGUGAUGAAGGUCUUCGGAUCGUAAAACUCUGUUAUUAGGGAAGAACAAAUGUGUAAGUAACUAUGCACGUCUUGACGGUACCUAAUCAGAAAGCCACGGCUAACUACGUG